UACGAAGGGGGCUAGCGUUGCUCGGAAUCACUGGGCGUAAAGGGUGCGUAGGCGGGUCUUUUAAGUCAGGGGUGAAAUCCUGGAGCUCAACUCCAGAACUGCCUUUGAUACUGAAGAUCUUGAGUUCGGGAGAGGUGAGUGGAACUGCGAGUGUAGAGGUGAAAAUUCGUAGAUAUUCGCAAGAACACCAGUGGCGAAGGCGGACUCACUGGCCCGAUACUGACGCUGGAGGCACGAAAAGCGUGGGG
This 248-nucleotide ribosomal RNA is filed under the name uncultured bacterium. Its description in RNAcentral is "partial 16S ribosomal RNA". It matches the Rfam family "Bacterial small subunit ribosomal RNA", at positions 524 to 766 of the family's 1533-position model. The record is from RNAcentral.